RNAcentral lists this long non-coding RNA (2491 nucleotides) under Musa acuminata (dwarf banana). RNAcentral's name for it is "long non-coding RNA (MACU_LNC007867)". The record is from RNAcentral. Lineage: Eukaryota; Viridiplantae; Streptophyta; Magnoliopsida; Zingiberales; Musaceae.
UAUGUAAGAAAGAAAAAAAGAGAUCUUAUCAAAUUCUGGAUUGCAUUCUAGAUAUUGCUCUUCUAUUACAUAUCAUUCAUCAAUAAUAUUUUUAGACAUGUUUCGAUUCCUUUAGACUUUGUUUUUUCUCCUUUUGUUAUAUUAUUCAUCAAUAAUAACAUUCCAUAAUCUUUCAAACAAAUUAGUUGUCAUUACUCAUUACUAACAAAGAAUUGUGACUUCUAUUAGUCUCUUUGUUCCGUAAGAAAGCAAAAUAAAGACCUAUCAAAUUCUGGAAUUGCAUUUUAGAUACUACUCUUUAUUAUAGAUCAUUCAUUGAUAAUAUUUUUAGACACAUUUUGAUUCCUUUAGACUUUGUUUUUUCUCCUUUAUUUGUGUGUUUUCCACUUUGCACUAUUCUGGCUAUAUAUUCUGUAGCUGAUAUUUAACUAAUCGUUUCAUCAUUUUAAAACUGACAAUUUAUCAUAUUAAUAAUAUAGGUUUUCCUACCUUGUUGGAUUUGCAUGUAAAGGUACUGAACAUAAUACCUUUGCUGUUGAUGAGUCACUUAAAGUCUUCGCACAAUUAGCUGUUGGACUUUCAGUUGUUGGCUCCACUUUUCAAAAUUAUUUUUUUUCCCACAUUUGAACAUUGAGGCAGCAAAUAGUUUCCUCAUUGCUCUAAGUAUGCAUUUCUAGAUGUCUAGAAUUUAGGAGUAUAUUAUUGCUUUGGUUGUCAUGAACAAGGUUCGCAAUACCGUACCGUACCGGUGUUUCGACCUGGGCUCGGUACGGUACAGUGUAUCGAGCGGUACCUCCAGGUGUACCAAGCGGUACACCUGAUUUCAGUCCAUUAAACCCUCCAAAAAUACCUAAAAAUAAAAAAAAAGUUAGGACAGGGUUUUCAAGUUAUAAAUAAAUAUAGUAAUAGUAUAAGUUUAGCAAAAUCAAUGUAAAUUAGGUAAGAAUAGUAUCACAUAUCUUUUUCGGGCUUUGAGGUAGUCUUAUUCGAGGUUCGUAUUUCAGCCCGUUAUAGAUUGAAAUAUCUACAGAAAAAUCAUUUGAAUUGUUAGACUAUUUUGUUACAAUAUAAACUCUAAAAUUUAAAUAAAUUAAAUAAUCACAUAUGUAGAUAUACCUGAUUGUUGAUUCUACCACUAAAACGAACGACGGGCCUCCACCCAAUCUAACAUUGGCUUUGAAUCUUCAUUGUAGAAUUGGAGGUCAAUGGAAUCAAUAUGAUUCAAAUAUGUAAUUUUAAUCUAAUAUGAUUUAAAUUAUGAUAAAAUCAUCAUUUAUCUACACUAAUUAAAUGAUUAACAUAGUUAAUUUUUCACUAAUUACUUCUCUUUCAACACUAUAAACAUGACAAAUACCCUAAUAAGUAUUAAAGACAUUGAAUUGAUAUAAAAUCGAAUAAAUUUCGAUUAAAUCAUCAUUAAAAUGACUAAUCACAGCAUUAAAUAACUUUAAUAAAACUUAAUAAAAUUUAUUUUACAAUCAUAAAUAUUAUUCAAUAUUUAAUAUGCAUGAAACACAUUAAUCAUAAUCUUAAAGAUCUUAAUUACUCUCUAAUUAAAGAAAGCGAAUACAUACCUCUUGACUAGAAAGCUCUUCCUCUUAAUCUUCCCAAAUUAACCUCGAUUGAAUUCACAAAUCGUUGUUUUGUAGAGUUUAGAGAGAAAAAAAAAAGUUUGAGAGAGAGUUUAAGAGAGUAUAAUAAAAUAGGAGAGAAGAAUGGCUUAAAUAGAAUGAGAAAGGGCUCCAAGGGUCAAAUUGACCGUUGGAGCACUAUAACACUACUACAGUGCGGUAACGAUCGAAAUCGAUCGUUACCGAGUUUUGCCGGGCGAUAACGAUCGAUUUCGACCGUACCCGAGUUGUGCUGGGCGGUAAUGGUUGAAAUUUCGACCGUUACUGCUCGAUAUUACAUCGUAUCAUCCGAUACGGGGUUUUUUUGAAUGUAUCGCCUGGUAGCGGGCAAUCCGCGUACCGGUACGUACAGCUCGUACUAGGCGGUACAAUUUGGUAUUGCAGACCUUGGUCAUGAAUAUAGAAAUUCAGAAAAUAGAUCUUUCUGAGAUAUUUUUUUUCUGCUGUUAUGUAGUCCAUUCUCUAAUCUUAUAUAGAAAAUAUUUUAUUGAUGUCAGUCAUCUAGAUUUACGUGACAUGCCAUAUUUAGUAAUUUGUGCAUCUCUGUGUAUUUGCCUCGUUCAAGAUUCAGAUUGUUCAUUGUACCAACAACAACAAGAAGUGAAGAUAUCAUGGGUAGCUACUAUCAUUUUCUAAAAUGUUGUAUGAUUGGUUAUAACCAUUGGGUGUCAUACAAUUUCAACAAUGGUGACUUAGAUUUAUUUACUCUCAAGUGUUGGUGCUAUCAGUUUUUUGGUUUUGUUAAUGUUGUUCUAAGCUAGGAACUAGGUCAGAAAUUUUUUUAAAAAAAUUGAAGAGAAUCUCAAGAAGUAAGAAAUCAUGAAGACAAAUGUCCAUCUUUAAAUAUUUUUAUGAUUUUN